ACUCAAUUACUCUUCUUUGAAUCUAUUAAAUUCAUUCAAGUGAAAAAGAGAUAUGAUUUCCUCACAUAUUUUAACGUUUUUCCAAAAGGGUGAUACUUGCGAAGGAGGGGGAAAAUGGUUUGACAAAUCUCCAUUCUUGAGAGAUAAGCCUGCUCGCAGUCAUUGACAAAAUCAAUGCGUGCAACACAAAGAUAACAACAAUACGUAAUGCAAUACAUAACAUAAUACAAAAGUCUAUCUCCAAAAAGAGGCAGAAAAGUAAAAAUCAACAACAACAAUAUCAUAGCAUGUGACAUGGAUAAACCCCUCCUCAUAGAUAGCGUAAUUAAGCGUUGGCACUGGGUUGAUGCCUCGCCUUUUCCUUCUCCUUCACCUCGCUUCCCUGCGUCUUGUCAUAAGCUUCAUGCAUAUACACACCAAACAAAAGAAGCUAAAAAUUAAGACAAACAAAACAAAAUAAGAAGCAAAUGUAUAUACAUGCAUGUCUGAUAAGAAAACUAAACCUGGGUGAUUUUCAUGUAUGCACUCAUCCGUCUUGGGCAUGGAUUGUUUUCCACCAUAAAUUCCACCAAACCCUUCUUCAUCACACCUCGUAGCGUACCCUUCCCCAAACGAAUGAGACAUCACAUCUCUUCAUAACAUUCAUCAUAAUUAACUCAUUUCAGUAUGUACAGAAUCAAGAAUAUUAAUCCAGUGAUUGUCUUUCACUUUUACAAUAUCUAAUCUAAUUAAUAACAUGGUUACUCUUAAGAUCAUUAAUUAUUAUCAAAUGCGACUCAUCAUGAUGUGUUAUAGAAUCUAGUAACAUGGUAAUGAAUGAAAUCCAGAUAUAUUAUUUGAGCUCACCCAUGUUUAGUUUCCUCGCUAGGUUUCUGACUCUUGUCCAUGUUAUGAUCUCUACUGUUACUAUCAGAUUUGGUGCAGAAUCUAACUGCGGAAGCUUCCCGACCGAGGUUGGAAGAGAGAGAGCGUGGGAGUGAAACGUGUUGACAGGUUAAAACCGUUUUGAUCGAGUGAAGCAUUGCUUUUUCUAUGUCGAGAAGGAUGGAUCCUGUUGCAGAGACAGUGUGGUAGUCCUAUAAUUUCGAACAAUGCAAAUCCUAUAAAUCCUCCCGUGCACUUAAUCUUGUUCACAUGCUUCAGAGAAAACAUGAAGCACUUUCAUGACAUGACAUGUGGUAUGUUUUGGACGUUUGUCCUUCACACAGACCCUCACGUGGAGGGCUGUUGAGCCUUUUGCAUGCAAAGAAUAUU
RNAcentral lists this long non-coding RNA (1254 nucleotides) under Vigna radiata. Its description in RNAcentral is "long non-coding RNA (VRAD_LNC010897)". Lineage: Eukaryota; Viridiplantae; Streptophyta; Magnoliopsida; Fabales; Fabaceae. The record is from RNAcentral.